GACGAACGCUGGCGGCGUGCUUAACACAUGCAAGUCGAACGGAAAGGCCCUGCUUUUGUGGGGUGCUCGAGUGGCGAACGGGUGAGUAACACGUGAGUAACCUGCCCUUGACUUUGGGAUAACUUCAGGAAACUGGGGCUAAUACAGGAUAGGAGCUCUUGCUGCACGGUGGGGGUUGGAAAGUGUCGGCGGUUGGGGAUGGACUCGCGGCUUAUCAGCUUGUUGGUGGGGUAGUGGCUUACAAAGGCUUUGACGGGUAGCCGGCCUGAGAGGGUGACCGGCCACAUUAGGACUGAGAUACGGCCCAGACUCCUACGGGAGGCAGCAGUGGGGAAUAUUGCACAAUGGGCGGAAGCCUGAUGCAGCAACGCCGCGUGCGGAAUGACGGCCUUCGGGUUGUAAACCGCUUUCGCCUGUGACGAAGCGUGAGUGACGGUAAUGGGUAAAGAAGCACCGGCUAACUACGUG
Molecule: ribosomal RNA, 468 nt
Filed under: uncultured bacterium
Lineage: Bacteria
Description: partial 16S ribosomal RNA
Rfam family: Bacterial small subunit ribosomal RNA
Source: RNAcentral